Molecule: ribosomal RNA, 469 nt
Filed under: uncultured bacterium
Lineage: Bacteria
Description: partial 16S ribosomal RNA
Rfam family: Bacterial small subunit ribosomal RNA
Source: RNAcentral
GACGAACGCUGGCGGCGUGCUUAACACAUGCAAGUCGAACGGAAAGGCCCUGCUUUUGUGGGGUGCUCGAGUGGCGAACGGGUGAGUAACACGUGAGUAACCUGCCCUUGACUUUGGGAUAACUUCAGGAAACUGGGGCUAAUACCGGAUAGGAGCUCCUGCUGCAUGGUGGGGGUUGGAAAGUUUCGGCGGUUGGGGAUGGACUCGCGGCUUAUCAGCUUGUUGGUGGGGUAGUGGCUUACCAAGGCUUUGACGGGUAGCCGGCCUGAGAGGGUGACCGGCCACAUUGGGACUGAGAUACGGCCCAGACGCCGACGGGAGGCAGCAGUGGGGAAUAUUGCACAAUGGGCGGAAGCCUGAUGCAGCAACGCCGCGGGCGGGAGGACGGCCUUCGGGUUGUAAACCGCUUUCGCCUGUGACGAAGCGUGAGUGACGGUAAUGGGUAAAGAAGCACCGGCUAACUACGUGC